Dermacentor andersoni is the source of this 759-nucleotide long non-coding RNA. RefSeq lists it as uncharacterized. NCBI's taxonomy places the organism in Eukaryota, Metazoa, Arthropoda, Arachnida, Ixodida, Ixodidae. The record is from RefSeq and is a predicted model, not a curated record.
AUACCCGAUAUUCGUUAUAAGCAUAUAUAUUCACUAAACGCACAUAUUGGUAACAUAUAAUUUAUACAUCCUUCGCAAUAUCAAAUAAUUUGUUAAUCUGUGUUCGUUAUAUCGAGCUUAGCCUGUGCUGGGACAAAGGAGUGACAGAGAAAUUUCUUUUUUUUUUCUCUUCUGAAUGUAGAGAUCGACCCGAGUUAAAGCUCCUAUAGCUUGCUAGUCUGCACAGAGGGAGUGACAAAGCACCUACAACGAAGUGUUGCCUCGAUUGCAUUCGCAGGGACAAGCAUUUGCGCUUAGCCCUCAACGUGGAGCGCCGUCGCCUUCACAUGGAUGCAAGUGGACCGCAAAUCAACCAUUCGCCAGCGGCAAUGUAUAACUCAUUCCUCGGUGCUGGAACACACGUCUGGAAUGCACGCUCAGCACAGCGCUGUCAGUGGCAGACGGCCUCCGGCGUCCCAGACGGACCGACUGACUCUUUAAAGCAAAGCACGGUGGACGACACGGCGCCGCCCCAGCGGCCGCCACGUAUCCUUCUUCGCAACGACUCCGCGACCGCAGCACGAAUAUCGAGACGCGUCCGACUCCCCCUAGACGAGAGUGGUCGAGCAUCUUUCUGCGUACCGUACAAGAAUGCGAAGUUUGGCUUCGUUGAGCAGCAUAACGUUUUGAGAGAACACAGCGCUAAGUUAUGUACAGGAAGUCGAAACAGAAAGGCGUUAUCAACUGGUGGGCUCUUCACAUAAAAAUAUACUUAUACAA